GUUAAAAAGCUCGUAGUUGGAUUUCUGUUGAGGAUGACCGGUCCGCUCUUUGAGCGCGUAUCUGGUUCAGCCUUGGCAUCCUCUUGGGGAACGCUACUGUGCUUGAUUGCAUGGGGCGGUAUUCAAGACUUUUACUUUGAGGAAAUUAGAGUGUUCACUGCAAGCGUUAGCAAUUGAAUACAUUAGCAUGGAAUAAUAAUAUAGGACCUUGGUACUAUUUUGUUGGUUUCUAGAACUAAGGUAAUGAUUAAUAGGGACAAUUGGGGGCAUUCGUAUUAACGCGUCAGAGGUGGAAUUCUUAGAUUGCGUUACGACGAACUACUGCGAAAGCAUUUGCCAAGGAUGUUUUCAUUGAUCAAGAACGAAAGUAUGGGGAUCGAAGACGCUUAGAUACCGUCGUAGUCUAUACCAUAAACUAUGCCAACUUGAGAUUGGAGGUCGUUCUCUUUAUGACUCCUUCAGCACCUUAUGAGAAAUCAAAGUCUUGGGUUCCGGGGGGAGUAUGGUCGCAAGG
Molecule: ribosomal RNA, 514 nt
Filed under: uncultured marine eukaryote
Lineage: Eukaryota
Description: SSU rRNA
Rfam family: Eukaryotic small subunit ribosomal RNA
Source: RNAcentral